UUGACCUCAGAUCAGGCGGGACUACCCGCUGAACUUAAGCAUAU
This 44-nucleotide ribosomal RNA is filed under the name Basidiomycota sp. KUC11081. RNAcentral describes it as "partial 28S ribosomal RNA". Lineage: Eukaryota; Fungi; Basidiomycota. The record is from RNAcentral.